GAUGUACCCCCUGGAAGACCUCUGCGUACCCCCAGGGUACACGUACCCUGGCUGAGAACCAUUGCCCUAAUGUAAAUGAGAAUCAAUCCCUUUGCUUUUAAAAUUCUGUAGAAGCUUUUGGGCCUGGUUUCUUUUGGCUUACAUUGUUUUUUAUCCUAAUGUGGCUCUAGUGAAGUUACUCCUGAUUUACACUGAUGUUCAUAAGAGUAGAAUCAGGCCUUCUACAUUUUACACUCUUUAUAAUAUUUACUGUAAUCAUGCAAUAUCCACAGGGAAAACUGAGUUCAGGAGUAUACAAUCAAUAUUGUAUUCAUUUAAAAAAACCCCACAGAAUUAAAAAUACAAACCACCUGAUUUUGAAAUAAAUUACCUUCAUGGAAUUAUAUCUUAUCUUUAGAGUGAAAUAUUCACAGAAAAUUAAUGAGAUUGUCAAGUGGCCACAAUGAAGAUUUAUGUGCUAAUCUGGUGACGUUUUAAAACAAUAUAAAAUAAUAAAGAAAUGCUUCUGUUAAAAAAGUGGCAGAGAUACUUAAUUUGAAUGGAAUCUUUUAUUAGAUUCCUCCUGUUUAGAAGCAAAUAGCUCCUUUGUUUAAACACCCUUCACAAAGGCAAAGCCUCAGGAAACAUUUUGUAAAAGAAUUCUGAAAGUCAAAGUCAUUUUGAUAGAAAUCAAACCAGAAAUAAUUUCUCCCUAAAGGAAUUCUACUUUACUUUAAUGAUGUCUGGAUUGUUUCCAUUUAAACAGCAUUUUUUGUUAAUUAUGAUUCACACCGUCCACUUAAACAGUGACUUUUUUACAUAAGCUUAGGAACUCAUUUGUCAUAUCCAUUUUGUUCAAGUGGAGGAAACAAAUACGAAAGGAAAACAAUUUGACUAAAAACAUCUUCCGUUCAUUAAAAAGCUUUAUGUUCUAAUGGCUGAAUAUGAAAUCCUGCUCUUUAUGGCUACUGGGAGCUGGGGAGCUCUUUGUUAGACACUUACUGAGGCAUUCUUUCCUGGUAAUAUAGGCUGUUUAUGGGGCUUUUCAUGACCUUUCUUUUUGGUACUGCCAACAGAGGAAUACUGUGUGCAUCUCUUUUAUAUCCACUUGUCUGCUUGCUCAUGGAUAUGUAUCUGUUUUGUUGUCUUCAUUUUGAAGAAAAAAGCCAGGGGCAAUUAAAA
Molecule: long non-coding RNA, 1161 nt
Organism: Dermochelys coriacea (leatherback sea turtle)
Lineage: Eukaryota; Metazoa; Chordata; Testudines; Dermochelyidae
Exons: 2
Source: RefSeq, a predicted model, not a curated record